RNAcentral lists this ribosomal RNA (943 nucleotides) under uncultured bacterium. RNAcentral describes it as "bacterial SSU rRNA". It matches the Rfam family "Bacterial small subunit ribosomal RNA", at positions 530 to 1482 of the family's 1533-position model. The record is from RNAcentral.
AUGGGCACGCUAUCGGAGUACUGGGCGUAAGCGUGCGCAGGCGGUUUUGUAAGUCUGUCGUGAAAGCCCCGGGCUUAACCUGGGAAUUGCGAUGGAGACUGCAAGGCUUGAAUCUGGCAGAGGGGGGUAGAAUUCCACGUGUAGCAGUGAAAUGCGUAGAGAUGUGGAGGAACACCGAUGGCGAAGGCAGCCCCCUGGGUCAAGAUUGACGCUCAUGCACGAAAGCGUGGGGAGCAAACAGGAUUAGAUACCCUGGUAGUCCACGCCCUAAACGAUGUCUACUAGUUGUCGGGUCUUAAUUGACUUGGUAACGCAGCUAACGCGUGAAGUAGACCGCCUGGGGAGUACGGUCGCAAGAUUAAAACUCAAAGGAAUUGACGGGGACCCGCACAAGCGGUGGAUGAUGUGGAUUAAUUCGAUGCAACGCGAAAAACCUUACCUACCCUUGACAUGUCAGGAACCUCCGAGAGAUUGGAGGGUGCCCGAAAGGGAGCCUGAACACAGGUGCUGCAUGGCUGUCGUCAGCUCGUGUCGUGAGAUGUUGGGUUAAGUCCCGCAACGAGCGCAACCCUUGUCAUUAGUUGCUACGAAAGGGCACUCUAAUGAGACUGCCGGUGACAAACCGGAGGAAGGUGGGGAUGACGUCAAGUCCUCAUGGCCCUUAUGGGUAGGGCUUCACACGUCAUACAAUGGUACAUACAGAGGGCCGCCAACCCGCGAGGGGGAGCUAAUCCCAGAAAGUGUAUCGUAGUCCGGAUCGCAGUCUGCAACUCGACUGCGUGAAGUUGGAAUCGCUAGCAAUCGCGGAUCAGCAUGUCGCGGUGAAUACGUUCCCGGGUCUUGUACACACCGCCCGUCACACCAUGGGAGCGGGUUUUACCAGAAGUAGGUAGCUUAACCCGCAAGGAGGGCGCUUACCACGGUAGGAUUCGUGACUGGGGUG